CCUACGGGUGACAGCAGUGAGGAAUAUUGGUCAAUGGGCGUAAGCCUGAACCAGCCAAGUCGCGUGAGGGAUGAAGGUUCUAUGGAUCGUAAACCUCUUUUAUAAGGGAAUAAAGUGUGGGACGUGUCCUAUUUUGUAUGUACCUUAUGAAUAAGGAUCGGCUAACUCCGUGCCAUCAGCCGCGGUAAUACGGAGGAUCCGAGCGUUAUCCGGAUUUAUGGGGUUUAAAGGGUGCGUAGGCGGCCUUUUGAGUCAGCGGUGAAAGUCUGUGGCUCAACCAUAGAAUGGCCGUUGAAACUGGGGGGCUUGAGUAUGUUUGAGGCAGGCGGAAUGCGUGGGGUAGCGGUGAAAUGCUUAGAUAUCACGCAGAACCACGAUUGCGAAGGCAGCCUGCCAAGCCAUGACUGACGCUGAUGCACGAAAGCGUGGGGAUCAAACAGGAUUAGAUACCCUUGUAGUC
RNAcentral lists this ribosomal RNA (460 nucleotides) under uncultured bacterium. RNAcentral describes it as "partial 16S ribosomal RNA". It matches the Rfam family "Bacterial small subunit ribosomal RNA", at positions 338 to 795 of the family's 1533-position model. The record is from RNAcentral.